RNAcentral lists this ribosomal RNA (1343 nucleotides) under uncultured bacterium. Its description in RNAcentral is "16S ribosomal RNA". It matches the Rfam family "Bacterial small subunit ribosomal RNA", at positions 28 to 1378 of the family's 1533-position model. The record is from RNAcentral.
GACGAACGCUGGCGGCGUGCUUAACACAUGCAAGUCGAACGGAAAGGCCCUGCUUUUGUGGGGUGCUCGAGUGGCGAACGGGUGAGUAACACGUGAGUAACCUGCCCUUGACUUUGGGAUAACUUCAGGAAACUGGGGCUAAUACCGGAUAGGAGCUCCUGCUGCAUGGUGGGGGUUGGAAAGUUUCGGCGGUUGGGGAUGGACUCGCGGCUUAUCAGCUUGUUGGUGGGGUAGUGGCUUACCAAGGCUUUGACGGGUAGCCGGCCUGAGAGGGUGACCGGCCACAUUGGGACUGAGAUACGGCCCAGACUCCUACGGGAGGCAGCAGUGGGGAAUAUUGCACAAUGGGCGGAAGCCUGAUGCAGCAACGCCGCGUGCGGGAUGACGGCCUUCGGGUUGUAAACCGCUUUCGCCUGUGACGAAGCGUGAGUGACGGUAAUGGGUAAAGAAGCACCGGCUAACUACGUGCCAGCAGCCGCGGUGAUACGUAGGGUGCGAGCGUUGUCCGGAUUUAUUGGGCGUAAAGGGCUCGUAGGUGGUUGAUCGCGUCGGAAGUGUAAUCUUGGGGCUUAACCCUGAGCGUGCUUUCGAUACGGGUUGACUUGAGGAAGGUAGGGGAGAAUGGAAUUCCUGGUGGAGCGGUGGAAUGCGCAGAUAUCAGGAGGAACACCAGUGGCGAAGGCGGUUCUCUGGGCCUUUCCUGACGCUGAGGAGCGAAAGCGUGGGGAGCGAACAGGCUUAGAUACCCUGGUAGUCCACGCUGUAAACGGUGGGUACUAGGUGUGGGGUCCAUUCCACGGGUUCCGUGCCGUAGCUAACGCUUUAAGUACCCCGCCUGGGGAGUACGGCCGCAAGGCUAAAACUCAAAGGAAUUGACGGGGCCCCGCACAAGCGGCGGAGCAUGCGGAUUAAUUCGAUGCAACGCGUAGAACCUUACCUGGGUUUGACAUGGAUCGGGAGUGCUCAGAGAUGGGUGUGCCUCUUUUGGGGUCGGUUCACAGGUGGUGCAUGCCUGUCGUCAGCUCGUGUCGUGAGAUGUUGGGUUAAGUCCCGCAACGAGCGCAACCCUUGUUCACUGUUGCCAGCACGUUAUGGUGGGGACUCAGUGGAGACCGCCGGGGUCAACUCGGAGGAAGGUGGGGAUGACGUCAAGUCCUCGUGCCCCUUAUGUCCAGGGCUUCACGCAUGCUACAAUGGCUGGUACAGAGAGUGGCGAGCCUGUGAGGGUGAGCGAAUCUCGGAAAGCCGGUCUCAGUUCGGAUUGGGGUCUGCAACUCGACCUCAUGAAGUCGGAGUCGCUAGUAAUCGCAGAUCAGCAACGCUGCGGUGAAUACGUUCCCGGG